GGCGGGGUAGCUCAGGUGGUUAGAGCAGCGGAAUCAUAAUCCGCGUGUCGUUGGUUCGAAUCCGACCCUCGCUACCA
RNAcentral lists this transfer RNA (77 nucleotides) under Azospirillum sp. 51_20. RNAcentral describes it as "tRNA-Met". It matches the Rfam family "tRNA". Rfam says of the family: Transfer RNA (tRNA) molecules are approximately 80 nucleotides in length. Their secondary structure includes four short double-helical elements and three loops (D, anti-codon, and T loops). The record is from RNAcentral. RNAcentral also lists the same sequence under 1 other name. Lineage: Bacteria; Pseudomonadati; Pseudomonadota; Alphaproteobacteria; Rhodospirillales; Azospirillaceae.